UACGUAGGGUCCGAGCGUUGUCCGGAAUUAUUGGGCGUAAAGGGCUCGUAGGCGGUUUUUCGCGUCGGGAGUGAAAUCUUACAGCUUAACUGUGAACUUGCUUCCGAUACGGGCAGACUUGAGGCAUUCAGGGGAGAACGGAAUUCCUGGUGUAGCGGUGAAAUGCGCAGAUAUCAGGAGGAACACCGGUGGCGAAGGCGGUUCUCUAGUACGGUACUGACGCUGAGACGCGAAAGCGUGGGGAGCGAACAGG
RNAcentral lists this ribosomal RNA (253 nucleotides) under uncultured bacterium. Its description in RNAcentral is "partial 16S ribosomal RNA". It matches the Rfam family "Bacterial small subunit ribosomal RNA", at positions 524 to 776 of the family's 1533-position model. The record is from RNAcentral.